GACGUAGGGCGCGAGCGUUGUCCGGAUUUAUUGGGCGUAAAGAGCUCGUAGGCGGCUUGUUGCGUCGACCGUGAAAACCCGCGGCUUAACUGCGGGCUUGCAGUUGAUACGGGCAGGCUAGAGUUCGGUAGGGGAGACUGGAAUUCCUGGUGUAGCGGUGAAAUGCGCAGAUAUCAGGAAGAACACCCGUGGCGAAGGCGGCUUUCUGGGACGGUACUGACGCUGAGACGCGAAAGCGUGGGGAGCGAACAGG
RNAcentral lists this ribosomal RNA (253 nucleotides) under uncultured bacterium. RNAcentral's name for it is "partial 16S ribosomal RNA". It matches the Rfam family "Bacterial small subunit ribosomal RNA", at positions 524 to 776 of the family's 1533-position model. The record is from RNAcentral.